GAGGGGUAGAGGAAUUAAACAUCUUAACAGAUGAAAAAGAUUUGCACGGUGCCCAGUGCAACAGAGGCACUCGCCCGACCAAUGAUGCUGCUUGCAUCAGGUCACACGGUCAGGUAUGUCGGGCACAUCCUCAUCUGUAAAGGGGAGGGAGGAGCCUGGCAGGACCCAGCAGACAUGCCAGCUCCCUCUCCUUUUGCACUCCCUGCCCCACAAGGAGCAGAGCCACGGGUGCUGCUCCCGAGAGUGGACACGAUGCAGGGAAGGCGGACUUCCUGCCCAGGAGACAGCACGGGGCGUUGUGAAGAGCUGGAUGAGAAGUCACGGGCACCGGGUCCCAGCGAGCCUCUGCUCUUCCCUGGCUAUGUCACCUCCUCCCACCAGGAAGGACUGGGCAGCAAGCACUCUGUGUCUCUCAAGUUAGGGGCUGGCUUUUUGUCCUUCCUGCUGUUUGUUUUUAAUUUGUAGGCCCUUAAGGCUCUGUGGGAAAUGUAAUUUGAAAAAGCUGAAGAACUAUACUGCUGUCCCCAGCUGCCCCUGGGCCUACCUGGGUUUCCCCUCCCCUUACCUGCCAGUGAGGGAGGCGGCUGCAUUCCUGGGCAGGGACACUGCAGGCCAGCUUCCGUCCUAAGCUGGUGCGGUGGCAGGGGAGGGGUCCUCUGCUACUGCCUCCCGACUCACAGUGCCUGCGGUACCAUCUAAAGAGAAAAAUGUAUUUAUCUGUUUCUAAGACUGAACAGGGCUUCUGCCAGCCUUGGGGAAGGAGCCAAUCUUUCUUAAAACCCAGCCACGUCAAAACUAGGACUUCCCUGUCUGCCUACCAUGCAGGAGACCCGGGUUCAAUCCCUGGGUCGGGAAGAUCUCUUGGAGAAGGAAAUGGCAACCCACUCCAGUAUUCUUGCCAUGGAAAAUCCCAUGGAUGGAGGAACCUGGUAGGCUACAGCCGUGGGGUCGCAAAGAGUUGGACACAAUUGAGUGACUUCAGUCACUCACUCACAUCAAAACUAGUGAAAUCCCCCAUGCUAAAUCAUUAAAGAUUCUCAUAGUCUUACAUUCUUCAGUCAAAGACCAGGAACAACGCUCCCAUGGGUGACAGGUGGAUGAAUUGCUUGUUGCCUAGGAGAAUGGCCUGGGACUUCAGGGCUUGUGGGAGGGAGGGUGCUGCUGGCUGAGGUGGGUCUGGGGAGGUGGGCUUUGCCCUGGAUUGGCUGCUCUGAGGAAGGGUAGGCGAUUUUGUGACCAGGUGUCUCAGUAAACCUCGUCUAUGGUGGUGGUCAGUGGGGGAGCUCAGGACAGAUGAGAAUGGUGAUUGGGGGAAGUCAGUUCUGUGGCCAGGAGAGGGUAGCGGAAGCGUGUCAUCCUUUGGCUUGGGUGAUGUGGAUGCUGCUCUUCGGGUUCAGACGCAGUGGUGGACAGGCUCUCUCUUGAUGGCUGGUCACACGGUGGCCUGGUCUCAGGCUGCCCGUCUGUGUGAUUGCUUACGUUCCGCAGGAGAACACCAAGCUCUGAGGGCCAGGCCCACUCCUGGCUCUCGGGGCUGGUUUUUCUUCCUCGGGGACAAUGUCAGCAGACAAAACUCAGCGCAUGAGGUCUCUCCAGCUAGACCAGCCUCAGGUGCCCCUGUGGAGCCCCUCCUUUAUUUACUUAUAUGUUUGGCAGCUCCAGGUCUUUGUUGCAGCACGUGAGAUCUUCGAGCUUCAUCGCGGCACGUGAACAAUCAGUCGUGGCACGUGGGAUCUGGCCCCCCCACCAGAGGGGGAACCCAGGACCCCUGCACUGGGAUCGUGGAGUCUCAGCCCCUGGACCACCUGGGAAGUCCCUGUGGGCCCCUUUUAUAGUGCCUUUCUCACCCCGCACCCUCUGCCGUCGGGUCUAAGGCUUGGGACAGAAGGUGAACGGGGAAGCACAGCCCUCGCUCUGGGGCUGGGCACAUCAGAGGCCACCUGGAGCCCUGUGACAGCCCGGCCCGCGCUUCUAGCCGGAAUGGGAAUCGGAUCCCGAAGCAUGAGCUGUCUGGUGUGCUUGGCCAUUACAGAGACCCUCGGCAGGAGGGAGCCCUUGAAGUCACUUCUCUGCAGCCCACCCUCACCCCUGGAGGAGCCACAGCUGCAUCUGAAACAUCAGAAAGGCAGCUCCUGGGGUGGGGGAGUGGGGAGGUGCUGGCGGCAGUUGGGGGAAGAGGCAUGGUGGAAUAAAUGGGAGCAGGGGUGACA
Bos indicus x Bos taurus (hybrid cattle) is the source of this 2210-nucleotide long non-coding RNA. The record is from Ensembl. NCBI's taxonomy places the organism in Eukaryota, Metazoa, Chordata, Mammalia, Artiodactyla, Bovidae.